AUGUUAUCAGGUGUGUAUCAGCUUCCUUGUAUCGAGGGUUCUGGAGAAUUCCUUGUCGAUAAGAAGGAGCAAGGUUUGGUACAACCGAGGGAUCUGAACAAAAUUAGGGGAGAGCUUUCUGUUAGGUUUCUGGAGAAUGUAAAAAACUGGGAGGAGGCUGCAAAGUCUCAUCUAGACUUGAAGGAGCACAUCUCUAAGUUGGAGCUAGAAUGGGGAUCAUGUGAUGGUGCUCAUGAUAUGGACAAGGGCUUUGAGGUGCUUGAUGUAUUAAAGCCACACCGCAAUCUUGAUGACCUAACUAUCAGUGGGUACCCAGGUGUCAAGUCUCCUUCUUGGCUGGAGUCUGAUUGGCUGAGAAGAUUGAAAUUGAUUUGCCUACGAGAUUGUAAUAGAUGGGAGGUCCUUCCACCUUUAGGGGAUCUCCCCUUACUCGGUACUCUUGAAGUGCGGCGAAUGGAAGAACUAAAAGCACUCAGCCAGGAAUUCUUUGGUCAUGCUGGAUUCCCUUCUCUGGAAAGAUUGCUUCUGGAACGCCUACCUAAAUUGGAGUGGUGUCUUGUGGACAAUGAUAAAGUGUUACAGAAUCUCAGACAUCUCUCUGUUGCUGGCUGUCCACGGCUCAGAUCAUAUCCUACCCAUCCUCGUACACUCAGACAUAUAGCUGUACUUGACAAGGAAAAAAUCCAUUUUAAGCUUCAGAUUGACAGUUUUGAACUAUCAAGGUCAUUUUGUCACCUGGUAUCAAGCUCCUUCCAUGUCUUGCGCUCUCAUCACCUAGAGUCUAUAGAAGAUAUGGAGAUCUAUGUUAACUGUUUGGUACACAUGCCCAUGAUAGUCUUUCACAAUAUGAAAUCACUCAAAAAGUUAAAAAUAUUUGGCAUUGAUGAGCAGAAUAAUUGCUCAGUGAUUACCACACUGUUGGGUGAGAACGGAUGUCCUGUGCUUCCUUUGUCACUUAAAUGCCUUGCAUUAGAAAAGUGCUACCUGCAACCAUCCUCUUUCUCCAAGUUAUUGAAUAAUCUUUCAUCUCUUGAAACAAUACGUCUAUCAAAAUGUGGCUCUCUUGAGAUACCGAGUCUACCGGUAAGUCUGCACCUAUUGAGGAUGCUGAAACGGUUGGACAUUUAUAUUUGUGAUUGGAUAUCAUCUUUUGAGGGGUCAGAAGCACUGUUGUCCCUUGAAGAGAUGAAGAUAGGCUAUUGUUAUGAUCUGGAAUAUGUACCGUACUUAGAUGAGAUGCCAUGUCUUCAGAAACUACAUUUGUCUGCGUGCCCUCAAGUUAUGCGAUUAUCUAAAGUAGGCCACCAGACAGCCCUGAAGGAGCUGGUUGUAAGAUCUUGUGAUGGAUUAUCUUCUCUGCGACAGCUGUGUGACCUGGUUUCGCUUGUGAAGCUGACGAUUACCGAUUGUUCUGAUUUAUUGUGGCUUCCCGAUAUGGAUGGUUUUUAUUCACUUCGGGUUCUCUCGAUUAAUCAGUGCCCCCGGCUGAGGUCACUGCCACGGAGUGGUCUUCCUGUAUCACUUGAAACAUUUUUCCUGUCUAGAUGCCAUCAAGCACUGGAGGAGCAGUUUCAGCGGAAGGAAGGUCCAGAUUGGAAUAAGUUUGCGGCCCUUCCAGGAUGCAAGUGGAUAGAUAGUAGGUGGUAA
RNAcentral lists this ribosomal RNA (1647 nucleotides) under Triticum aestivum (bread wheat). RNAcentral describes it as "partial small subunit ribosomal RNA". The record is from RNAcentral. Lineage: Eukaryota; Viridiplantae; Streptophyta; Magnoliopsida; Poales; Poaceae.